RNAcentral lists this ribosomal RNA (553 nucleotides) under Fusarium tricinctum. RNAcentral describes it as "eukaryotic LSU rRNA". The stretch from base 182 to 335 matches the Rfam family "5.8S ribosomal RNA". The record is from RNAcentral. Lineage: Eukaryota; Fungi; Ascomycota; Sordariomycetes; Hypocreales; Nectriaceae.
CCGUAGGGGGGACCUGCGGAGGGAUCAUUACCGAGUUUACAACUCCCAAACCCCUGUGAACAUACCUUAAUGUUGCCUCGGCGGAUCAGCCCGCGCCCUGUAAAACGGGACGGCCCGCCAGAGGACCCAAACUCUAAUGUUUCUUAUUGUAACUUCUGAGUAAAACAAACAAAUAAAUCAAAACUUUCAACAACGGAUCUCUUGGUUCUGGCAUCGAUGAAGAACGCAGCAAAAUGCGAUAAGUAAUGUGAAUUGCAGAAUUCAGUGAAUCAUCGAAUCUUUGAACGCACAUUGCGCCCGCUGGUAUUCCGGCGGGCAUGCCUGUUCGAGCGUCAUUUCAACCCUCAAGCCCCCGGGUUUGGUGUUGGGGAUCGGCUCUGCCCUUCUGGGCGGUGCCGCCCCCGAAAUACAUUGGCGGUCUCGCUGCAGCCUCCAUUGCGUAGUAGCUAACACCUCGCAACUGGAACGCGGCGCGGCCAUGCCGUAAAACCCCAACUUCUGAAUGUUGACCUCGGAUCAGGUAGGAAUACCCGCUGAACUUAAGCAUAUCAAU